GUAAGAGAUCAAGGCAUGUUUUAUUUAUGAAUACUUAUUAAUUCCUUAAACAAUUUUAUUUAAACAAUCCUAUUUAGGAAAAGCAGGCAUUUUGGUAGUUUAGAAGUAUUUAAAGUCCAGCAGCUGUUCUAAAAAUAGAAAUUGGCUUCAGGUUCCCUACCCCAUUUCAAUAGCAGCCAGCCAACCUACCCUGUUAACAUUUGUGCUGUUAUUUUUUGCUUACUUGUCUUUCUAUGUAGUAGAGAUGAAAUAAAAUUGAAAGAUGUACCUGCCUUUGUUUUGUAGUGAAUGGCAUUACUGAGGAAGCUGAUCCCACCAUUUACUCUGGCAAAGUAAUUCGCCCUCUGAGGAGUGUUGAUCCAACACAGACUGAGUACCAAGGAAUGAUUGAGAUUGUGGAGGAGGGCGAUAUGAAAGGUGAGGUCUAUCCAUUUGGCAUUGUUGGGAUGGCCAACAAAGGGGAUUGCCUGCAGAAAGGGGAGAGCGUCAAGUUCCAAUUGUGUGUCCUGGGCCAAAAUGCACAAACUAUGGCUUACAACAUCACA
Molecule: small RNA, 545 nt
Filed under: Pan troglodytes (chimpanzee)
Lineage: Eukaryota; Metazoa; Chordata; Mammalia; Primates; Hominidae
Description: retained intron
Source: RNAcentral